RNAcentral lists this ribosomal RNA (707 nucleotides) under Durinskia baltica. Its description in RNAcentral is "partial Bacterial large subunit ribosomal RNA". It matches the Rfam family "Bacterial large subunit ribosomal RNA", at positions 445 to 1154 of the family's 2925-position model. Lineage: Eukaryota; Dinophyceae; Peridiniales; Kryptoperidiniaceae. The record is from RNAcentral.
UGGGGGGACCAUCCUCCAAGGCUAAAUACUCCUUAUCGACCGAUAGUGAACCAGUACCGUGAGGGAAAGGCGAAAAGAACCCCGUUGAGGGGAGUGAAAUAGAACCUGAAACCGUGUGCGUACAAGCAGUAGGAGCAGACUUGUUCUGUGACUGCGUACCUUUUGUAUAAUGGGUCAGCGACUUAAUUUAUGUAGCGAGCUUAACCGAAUAGGGGAGGCGAAGGGAAACCGAGUCUUAAUAGGGCGACUAGUUGCAUGGAUUAGACCCGAAACCUGGCGAUCUAUCCAUGGUCAGGGUGAAGGUGAGGUAACACUUACUGGAGGCCCGAACUCACGUAUGUUGAAAAAUGCGGAGAUGAACUGUGGAUCGGAGUGAAAGGCUAAUCAAGCCAGGAGAUAGCUGGUUCUCCUCGAAAGCUAUUUAGGUAGCGCCUCGUAUCUCACUCUCGGGGGUAGAGCACUGUUUGGGCUAGGGGGUCAUCCCGACUUACCAAACCCAUGCAAACUCCGAAUACCGAGAAGUGCAAUUACGGGAGACACACGGCGGGUGAUAACGUCCGUCGUGGAAAGGGAAACAACCCAGACCAUCAGCUAAGGUCCCAAAAUUAUGGCUCAGUGGAAAACGAUGUGGGAAGGCCUAGACAGCUAGGAGGUUGGCUUAGAAGCAGCCACCCUUUAAAGAAAGCGUAAUAGCUCACUAGUCGAGU